UUCUAAUUGUUUCAUAAUUAGUAAUACCUGCUCAAUGAAAUUUCAAUAGCCGCAGAAUUUUCUGUGCUAAGGUAGCAUAAUCAUUUGCCUUUUAAUUGAAGGCUAGAAUGAAAGGUUUAACAUAUAAAUUUCUUUAUUCAUGAAUUUGUUUAAAAUUUUCCUAAAUGUAAAAAGACAUUUAUUAUUAGAGGGACGACAAGACCCUAUUGAGCUUCACUUUAGUUUAGCUGGGGUGGCAAAAAACAAAUUCUUUCAUUUUUUAAUUAUCCAACCUGUUGAUUUUUGAAUUAGUUACCAUAGGGAUAACAGCAUAAUUAUUUCUUACAGACCUUAUAAAAGAAAAAGAUUGUGACCUCGAUGUUGAAUAUUUAUCUUUCAGGAGCAGCAUCCUGAAAAGAAGGUCUGUUCGACCUUUAAAAUUUUACA
This 426-nucleotide ribosomal RNA is filed under the name Mediothele cf. australis MR287. RNAcentral describes it as "partial 16S ribosomal RNA". It matches the Rfam family "Bacterial large subunit ribosomal RNA", at positions 1832 to 2600 of the family's 2925-position model. The record is from RNAcentral. Lineage: Eukaryota; Metazoa; Arthropoda; Arachnida; Araneae; Hexathelidae.